This 572-nucleotide ribosomal RNA is filed under the name uncultured Glomeromycotina. RNAcentral's name for it is "SSU rRNA". It matches the Rfam family "Eukaryotic small subunit ribosomal RNA", at positions 548 to 1114 of the family's 1831-position model. The record is from RNAcentral. Lineage: Eukaryota; Fungi; Glomeromycota.
UUGGAGGGCAAGUCUGGUGCCAGCAGCCGCGGUAAUUCCAGCUCCAAUAGCGUAUAUUAAAGUUGUUGCAGUUAAAAAGCUCGUAGUUGAAUUUCGGGAUUGACGUGAUGGUCAUGCCUUAAGGGGUAUGAACUGUUACAGUUGAUUUCUCACCUUCUGGAGAAACUUGAUGUCCUUUAUUGGGUGUCUUGCGGAUCCAGGACCUUUACCUUGAAAAAAUUAGAGUGUUUAAAGCAGGCAUUUUUGCUCGAAUACAUUAGCAUGGAAUAAUAGAAUAGGACGGCAUGGUUCUAUUUUGUUGGUUUCUAGGAUCACCGUAAUGAUUAAUAGGGAUAGUUGGGGGCAUUAGUAUUCAAUUGUCAGAGGUGAAAUUCUUGGAUUUAUUGAAGACUAACUACUGCGAAAGCAUUUGCCAAGGAUGUUUUCAUUAAUCAAGAACGAAAGUUAGGGGAUCGAAGACGAUCAGAUACCGUCGUAGUCUUAACCAUAAACUAUGCCGACUAGGAAUCAGACGAUGUUAAUUUUUUAAUGACUCGUUUGGCACCUUACGGGAAACCAAAGUGUUUGGGUUC